UACGUAGGGGGCAAGCGUUGUCCGGAUUUAUUGGGCGUAAAGAGCGUGUAGGCGGCCAUACAGGUCAGCUGUGAAAACUCGAGGCUCAACCUCGAGACGUCGGUUGAAACCGUAUGGCUAGAGUCCGGAAGAGGAGAGUGGAAUUCCCGGUGUAGCGGUGAAAUGCGCAGAUAUCGGGAAGAACACCGGUGGCGAAGGCGGUUCUCUGGGCCUGUACUGACGCUGAGGAGCGAAAGCGUGGGGAGCGAACAGG
Molecule: ribosomal RNA, 253 nt
Filed under: uncultured bacterium
Lineage: Bacteria
Description: partial 16S ribosomal RNA
Rfam family: Bacterial small subunit ribosomal RNA
Source: RNAcentral